UACGUAGGGUGCAAGCGUUAAUCGGAAUUACUGGGCGUAAAGCGUGCGCAGGCGGUUUUGUAAGUUUGUCGUGAAAUCCCCGGGCUCGACCUGGGAAUUGCGAUGAAGACUGCAAGGCUAGAAUCUGGCAGAGGGGGGUAGAAUUCCACGUGUAGCAGUGAAAUGCGUAGAGAUGUGGAGGAACACCGAUGGCGAAGGCAGCCCCCUGGGUCAAGAUUGACGCUCAUGCACGAAAGCGUGGGGAGCAAACAGG
This 253-nucleotide ribosomal RNA is filed under the name uncultured bacterium. RNAcentral's name for it is "partial 16S ribosomal RNA". It matches the Rfam family "Bacterial small subunit ribosomal RNA", at positions 524 to 776 of the family's 1533-position model. The record is from RNAcentral.